This 383-nucleotide ribosomal RNA is filed under the name uncultured eukaryote. Its description in RNAcentral is "partial 18S ribosomal RNA". It matches the Rfam family "Eukaryotic small subunit ribosomal RNA", at positions 592 to 976 of the family's 1831-position model. The record is from RNAcentral.
CAAUAGCGUAUAUUAAAGUUGUUGCAGUUAAAAAGCUCGUAGUUGGAUUUCUGGUAGGAGUGACCGUUCCGAACUUGAUUGUUCGUGUAUUGUGUUUUCUCCAGCCAUCCUUGUGGAGAACUUUUCUUGCAUUAAUUUGUAGGGAUUGGGACCCGCAUCGUUUACUGUGAAAAAAUUAGAGUGUUUAAAGCAGGCAAUCGCUUGAAUACAUUAGCAUGGAAUAAUAAGAUAGGACUUUGGUACUAUUUUGUUGGUUUGCAUACCAAAAUAAUGAUCAACAGGAACAGUUUGAGGAUAUUCGUAUGAACAUGUCAGAGGUGAAAUUCUUGGAUUUUGAUCAGACGAACUACUGCGAAAGCAUUUAUCAAGGAUGUUUUCAUUAA